This is a non-coding RNA of Hordeum vulgare subsp. vulgare (domesticated barley), 136 nucleotides long. The record is from Rfam. Lineage: Eukaryota; Viridiplantae; Streptophyta; Magnoliopsida; Poales; Poaceae.
UUUAUACUCCCUCAGUCCCAAAAUUCUUGUCUUAGGUUUGUCUAAAAAUAGAUAUAUUUAAGUACUAAAACAUGACUAGAUGCAUUCAUAUCUAGAUAAAUGUAAGACAAGAAUUUUGAGACGGAGGGAGUACUAG